GCCAGCAAGGGAGACAGUGUCUAGAGGCAGUCAUCUAGCAAGAUGGAGACUUACAACAUGAGGCACAUACAAGAGUGACCUCCCAUCGUCUUUGAGGCAUUCUAUUUCUUGUGUCUUUGUGAAGCUUCCUAUCUUUGCUUUUCAACUAAGAUGAAACAGCAUUUAAAAGAAAAUGCCAUGUGAGAUGAGAUCAGGAGAAUGGAUUCUUUCUUUCAUCUGAAUAGAGAGCUGCUGUUCGAGAUUCUAACUCAAAUAGCUCAAAGGACACCUUCUCCGGGAAACCUUCCCUGACUUCCGACGCUGUUUCCUGUUGGGCAUCUAUGUAAAUCAUUUGGAGUUUUUGCCUUUCCUCUUAGAAGAAAAAUAUGAAUGAUUUGACUGAACAGGCCUAUAGCCAAACCCAAGAUGAUCUUUCCAAGCGUGAACUCCAUCUUCAAACUUCUAAUCUUAAACCUUAAAGAAGAAACUAUGGCAAUGUCUCUUCCACCACUCUUGACUAGCAUGAUGUGUUGCCAAAAGACUUCAGAUCAUAAGUGCGAAAUAAAAAAUCAAAAAUUGACUGCAUCUUUUCUCAUUGCUCAACAACUGUCAAACAACUGAGAAAUUUGUUUUGGAUGAAGCAGUAACAUUCCUUCUUCCACUCCCAGCCCCAUUCCACGUAGUCUGCAGUUCCUCACUGACCACUGAUUGAUGUCAACGUGCAAACUCUCAGACAGAAGACAAGAAAUAUGUCCUGGGUUUUCUGGUUCCUCAAGCUUCUGACUAGGACCAGAGCCAGCAAUUACACACACUUAUCCCUAUUCUUUCCAUGAAUGCAGAGAAAGAAAGACCUUCUUGGGCUGUAAGAAAUACUCUAUUCCUCACACAUAAUAACUAAGGCUCAGCAGCUUGUAAAAAGGCAUGGUCCAGGGCAUGUCAGGACAAGGAAGAGCGGUAAGUUGUUUCUCUGUCUUUCCUCUGUAUUCUUUCAUAAUUGGGACAAGGCCUCAGCUGACAAGGAGCUGGCAGAACACUGGGGACAGCUGGUAUGUAAGAACCAACACCGUCCCAUCAGUCAUUUAUUCAACACAUGUUUAUUGAGUAUCUGCAACGUGACUGCACCGUUAUAGAGUCUGCAUUGUUGUAGGUCCUGAGAAAAAAACUGCAAAGCAAAAGUACACACAGGCUUGCCCUCCUGAAAUGUACAGUCAGGUGGAGAUGGCAGAUAUUAAGAAACUAACUUGUGCUAUUGAAGUUUAAAAGAAAGGGAUCUUACUGAGUCUGAGGAGAGGGAUGAAUCAAUGCAGACUUCCUAGAAGAACUGGCAUAUAAACCAAGAACUGAAAGAGGAAUAGACAUUAAACCAGAAAACAGAAUGGAAGAAAAAUAGAUUUACGAUGCAAAAACCGUAAAGGAAAGAGUUCAGUAUGACUGGAAUAUAUAGACAGAAGAUAAUGGUUUAUGAUAAGACUGAAAAGGAAUGCAGGGUCUAGAUAAAGAGACUCUUCAAAUUAGUAAGAAUUUUUUUGAGACAAUAAAAGACCAUUUUGCUUUGGCAAAAUAAUAAUAAUAAUAACACUCAGUGUAGUGUGAACUAUAAAUUUAGGAGAGCAAGAGUAAUUGUGGGGAAAUCAGUUAAGAGACUUGCUUUAGCCAAGAAAACAGUUGAUGUUGGAUUAAACCAUGGAGAAGAUAAUGGAGAUAAUGACAAGUGGACAGAUUUUGGAAAUCAAUAUCUUUUGGUAAUUAAUUGAACAUAGGAGAAAGAAGAAAAGAUGGGGUUACAUAGGACUCUGAAAUUUCUGAACAAUCAGCUGGGAAGAUGAUAGCAUUAUUUGUUGUGUAAAGAACAUGAGAAGAGGCUCGGGAUUGGAAGGACACAUGAGGAGCUCUGGUUUUGACACAGUGAGUGUGGUAUAUGGGCUCUCACUUACGUGGGUCUAGAGCUAAGAAGAGAAGUCAUGGGUUGGACGCAAAAGUGUGGGUUUUGGCAGCAUUUAGGUAGUAAAAAUUUGGCAAAUGGUUAAGAGUAUAUUACAGGAAAAGAAAAUAAUUUAGGUCAGAGUCCAGAGGAAAGCAUACAUUUAACACAGAAGAAUAAAACCUGAGAAAUAACUGGUAAACGAGAUUAGGAAGCAGUCAGAGAGGAAGAAAGCCAGGAGGAUACGGUGUGGCAUGGAAGCCAAUGGAGAGAUUGUUUCAAGAAGAAGAAGAUAGUUAACAGUAGGGAAUUAUCAACAUAGAGAUUAAGAAAUGUGGAUUUACCAAUAAGGAGGACAUUCGUGUUCUUCAAAAUGAAAACCAGAGAAGAGGUAAAAGCAAAAAAAAAAAAAAAAAAUUGUCAAGAGGCAAGAACAGAACUUGAAAGAGAAUACCAGGAAACCAUGGAAAGUGAAGAUAGACUUAGAGAGUAUGGUCAAAAGUUAGGACAGAGAAAUCAGAUGAGCUGAUCUGAAAUCCAGAAACUAUUCAUGGAGAACACACCCCAGGCGAGUGACUUUUGAAAGUCCUUUCCUUUAUACUUACCUAUAUUAAUUGCUGAAUGUAAAAAUAUCAUAUUUUAAUUAUUUAUUACCAAAAUAAUGUAUUUCCUUGUGGAAUAACUUAAAAAAUGUAGAAGAGUAAAGAAAUGAUCCAUAUUCUUCGCAUAAAAAGAAAAACAAUAUUGAUGUUUGCUCUUUCCAUCAGAAUUGUCCAAAUAAAUAAUCAUUCUAUACACAUUACUUUGAAAUAUGUUUUCUUUGCAUAAUAUUUUAGCAUAACCAAUUAUAUUUUAUUAUAAGUUGGGUUGAGUUGGAUCAUUACAUUUGAAGUAAAAUUUAAGAAAUAGUAAUUAAACUUUUUAAAG
Molecule: long non-coding RNA, 2827 nt
Filed under: Homo sapiens (human)
Lineage: Eukaryota; Metazoa; Chordata; Mammalia; Primates; Hominidae
Description: HSALNT0101073
Source: RNAcentral